GCACUUGGGAGCUGGAUUUGAAACUUACUGCUGCUGUGCAGGUUUACGAGAUGUCAGGAAACCUAGUAGUGAAAGGGAGGGAGGAGCUGUGCAUUCUAGAAAAGGAUUUCAACCACUACUUAAAGGCAUAUUACCUUUUACUGUUCACUUGCUGCGGGAGGUUUGAAGGAAACUGUUGCAACGCAUUGGGAAGGCUUUCUGGGACACUGCCAAGAAUUCACCAACACUCAACUUAAUUUUGGAAAUUCUCUGAAGACUUCACCUAAAAUGAAUCACACAAAACCUUCUAAUGAAAGGACAGAGCACUCUGAGCUGGGGAUUUAUCCACAAUUGUCUUCAGUGAUAUGUCAUUAUCACCCAGCAGAAAUGCACCAAGCAUGAUAAAGAAGUUUAUGUUCAGAUUUUCUCCCAAUUCUCAGUGGGAUAUCUCAUUUUCAAAAAAAUACUCCGACCUGGAAUUUCCUCUGCAUUCGCUUGCAUAUAUGCCCAUAAUCUGGGUGCGAUCAGAUUGCAUGGUUCAGAAGGAAUUUGAAUUUUGGGUGUAGGUGGGCCACCCGUGUAACUAAAACAUGCCUAAAUCCCGUUAAUCAUUUAUAUCCCUCUAUUAAAUCCCUUUACCAAACAAUUUCUGCCUACAAAACUGGGCAUGCCCUGACUUUCCCCCGAUUGUGAUGGCUCAGAUGGGUCUCUUAAUGUUGCAAGCAGGUUUUCAGAAACAGAAGGAAUCAAAGACAUUUUCCAUUCAUUUAA
This is a long non-coding RNA of Carcharodon carcharias (great white shark), 750 nucleotides long. RefSeq lists it as uncharacterized. The transcript is spliced from 3 exons. Lineage: Eukaryota; Metazoa; Chordata; Chondrichthyes; Lamniformes; Lamnidae. The record is from RefSeq and is a predicted model, not a curated record.